AGGGGCGGUUGGCUUUGUUGGGUGAGCUUGUUUGUGUCCCUGUGGGUGGACGUGGUUGGUGAUUCGCAGGAUCCUGGUAUCCGCUAACAGGUGGUAUGCAGAUCUUCGUGAAGACCCUGACCGGCAAGACCAUCACUCUGGAGGUGGAGCCCAGUGACACCAUCGAAAAUGUGAAGGCCAAGAUCCAAGAUAAAGAAGGCAUCCCUCCCGACCAGCAGAGGCUCAUCUUUGCAGGCAAGCAGCUGGAAGAUGGCCGCACUCUUUCUGACUACAACAUCCAGAAAGAGUCGACCCUGCACCUGGUCCUGCGCCUGAGGGGUGGCUGUUAAUUCUUCAGUCUUGGCAUUCGCAGUGCCCAGUGAUGGCAUUACUCUGCACUACAGCCAUUUGCCCCAACUUAAGUUUAGAAAUUACAAGUUUCAGUAAUAGCUGAACCUGUUCAAAAUGUUAAUAAAGGUUUCGUUGCAUGGUAGCAUA
RNAcentral lists this small RNA (477 nucleotides) under Pan troglodytes (chimpanzee). RNAcentral describes it as "processed transcript". Lineage: Eukaryota; Metazoa; Chordata; Mammalia; Primates; Hominidae. The record is from RNAcentral.